AUUCAAAGGGUUUAAAACAAUAAAUGCUUACAAUUUGCUUUAAUAUAAUGAAAGCCAUUUUAAAACAAUACAUUUCCAGCCAUAGAAAAAAGUAUCACAUGUUCAUCUAGAUAUUUCCUUUUUGGAACUGGCCACCAGUUCAGGUAAAAAAAUACCCAAGUUAAAAUACUUUCUUCAGUAAAUUUACUAUAGUAUUUGCCUUCUAAUGAACUCAAGUUAAAUAAAAAUAGCUUGAUUUAUUAUGGCAUCUUUAAAAGAUGUUCAAAGUUCCAUACAGCAUUUUCUCAGUCAUUGGAACUCAUGCAGUCCUUAAGUAACAUAAACUGAACAUCCUGAGAGCAUUACUACAGGAGAGUGUGAAUCUGUGCUCAUUUGUCUCACCUUAUUUACAGAUUGUAGGAGUGCUGGGUUAGUUCUGGAGAUAAAACCAACUCUGUUUACAAGAGUAUUUUUGCUUUUAUAGCUCUGUUACAACCGGUUUAACAGUUCAGGUGCCUUGUGCUCCAUAAAACUGGUUCUGACCUGAUUUUUAAGACUGAAUGUUAAAAUAUAAGUAAUGAAAUUGGUAUGUUAUUUGGUUUAUGUAAUAUUUAAACCUUUAAAUGACCUACAGUCAUGUUCCACUUCCCACAAUAAGAAACAAACAUAAAGACCUGCUCUAUUUAGAACUUGGCACCAGUAUUCAGAAAUCAGUCUGGGAUCUUAUGGGUUAAUAUAGUUAAUCUGUGCGGCAGGUGUGUUUGAGCGAACACUCCCUUUAGUUCACAGCCGUUCACUUGAAGAGGGAGCUGCGAAUAAGGAGCUAACUUCAAAAUCAUACAAAAAGAGAAAGGGAAAAGUCAAAGCAUUAAUGUUCCAGGUCUUAAAGUGAAGAAAUGGCAGAAUCUUCAAAAUCUCCAUCACACCAGCCAAUCAGGAAAAGAGAGAGUAUAGAAGAACCACUGACGUUUGGUUGUGAGUCCAGCAGUCCUCUGUCUGAAGGUCAGUUCCAGUGUUCUAUCUGUCUGGACGUGUUCACUGAUCCAGUUUCUACUCCAUGUGGACACAACUUCUGUAAAUCCUGCCUCACUCAGUACU
RNAcentral lists this long non-coding RNA (1077 nucleotides) under Astyanax mexicanus (Mexican tetra). RNAcentral's name for it is "lncRNA (ENSAMXG00005009652.1)". Lineage: Eukaryota; Metazoa; Chordata; Actinopteri; Characiformes; Acestrorhamphidae. The record is from RNAcentral.